UACGAAGGGGGCUAGCGUUGUUCGGAUUUACUGGGCGUAAAGCGCACGUAGGCGGUUCGUUAAGUCGGGGGUGAAAUCCUGGAGCUCAACUCCAGAACUGCCUUCGAUACUGGCGAUCUUGAGUCCGGAAGAGGUGAGUGGAACUCCUAGUGUAGAGGUGGAAUUCGUAGAUAUCAGGAGGAACACCGGUGGCGAAGGCGGAUCUCUGGGCCAUUACUGACGCUGAGGAGCGAAAGCGUGGGGAGCGAACAGG
This 253-nucleotide ribosomal RNA is filed under the name uncultured bacterium. Its description in RNAcentral is "partial 16S ribosomal RNA". It matches the Rfam family "Bacterial small subunit ribosomal RNA", at positions 524 to 776 of the family's 1533-position model. The record is from RNAcentral.